CUCUGCGCAGACUCGUCCCGGCCAGUUGUCUGCUGGGUCUCGCAGGGGUCGGCUCGUAAACGGUUCCACGCCGGGCAGGUUGGACCACCUGCAGAUGCCGGCGCUAGAGAUGUUCAGUGCCCAGGAUUACAGAAGGAGAGCACCUAUAGCAGUUAUAGAAAAAGGAUUCUGCUCGGUUCUGCAUGGAUCACAAUCACUAUCCCGUGGAUAAGAAGAAUGAAACAGCUCUUUGGACAGGAAAAGUAGCAAAUAUCUACUAUGAGAGGCUGUAGGGGGAGAGAAUAACAGGCAGCAGGAACUACAUGUGCAAAGUCCUGUGGUGGCUGGCAGUGCAUCUGAGAACCAAAGACCUGUGUAGGUGGACAACAAGAAGCGUGCAGUAUGGCAUGAGAUGAACUUGGAAAGAUUAAGCCACACCACCGAACAUCUAGAAAGCUUUUUGGCUUUAUCCCAAGGGCAACAGAGACCUAUUAGGGGUUUAAUGGGGCUGGGUACUUGGGUGUGAGGAGGAAGAACCACCAUCACAUUGCAACUGCAUUAGAGAUUCCAGUCAGAACUGCUGAGCCCAGCCCCCUGAGAAUUCCUGAUGUAGAAACUGUGAGAGAUAAUGAAAUAAUUGUUGUUGUUUUAAGCCAGUAAAUAGGUUUUGCAGCAAUGGAUAACCAGAAUAGGAAGCAUCUAUCACUAUCGUGUCUUUGUAUCAAUUUUCUCUGCCACAUUCUCAUUUGUCAAUGGCUUCAAGCAAUUUCCCCCAUCACUUUUAUGUACUUUGUGGAACUCCUUCUACUUUUGUUGGAAGAGUUGGAAUUUUACUUUGUAAUAAAUUUUCAUUGUACAGUAUUUUUAUUUUAUUAUGCAAUGUUUGCAUCCCCCGAAGGACAAGAUGUUAACUAGAUAGGUGGGGAUACAUGUGAAUAUUAAGUGGGGAGGUUUUUGUAAGGGGACUAAUUAGAAGUUGAUAGGUGAAUAUUUUCACCUUUUGAUGAAUUUUCCCUAUCCAGACUCAUAACUUUGAAGAUUUAGAUAAUAAAUAUUUGAAAAAUGAGGACCCCAGUAAUGUUUAGAGCAGGACUGUUUCAUUGGUGAUAAAGGGUAAGGAAAUUUGAAUCACUUCAUUGUCAGUGCAAUGAUUGUAGAUUGCUUUGAAAGCUUCGUAAUUCACCAUGGCCUCUUCGUUAUUAAUGUUCUAGAAUCAUAGAGAUAAAAUACAUUCUGAAGAUCAUGACUUUUAUCCCUAUUUUGAACAUAAUCGGCCUUUUUUACCUUCCAUCUUGUUUUUCCUUCUCCACUUUCCUUUCACAAUAGUUAUUAGGCUCCUGUAUAUGCUAGCCAUUGAGGAUACAAAACUGAACAAAAAAGGCAUUGAAGUAAAGGCUAUGAAUGUGUGUUUUUCUUAUUUGCAGCAAACAUUUAUUGAGCAGUUACUAUGCAUUGCUAUUUUUUUCUACAUGCAGUUUUAAAAAUCUCUCACAAUGUAAAUUAGAGACCAAGGGAAAGCAAGAAGAGAGAAAGAAAAAGAUAUUUACAUGAAGAAAAUAGUCUGUUAACUUGUUUUAACCAUCGGUUUUGCUGUAUGAUCUGAGAAAUAUUAACAAAUUUACCUAAAUGAUCUUAAGAAAAUCUUCCAGUGUACACACAAAUUACAGGAGUAACAAAGAGAUAUACAUUUAUUAUAUUAUUUCUGGAAAGCUUUUAAGUAAUUGACUCAACUUUCUGUCUGAAUUACAGAAGACUCCCAAAGAAAAUGUGGGCAAGAUAUUCAGUUAUUUUUUUAACAGCAAAGGCCAUUUUGUGUAGACUUCUGAAUGCACCACUAGAUGGCAAUGUUUUGCAGCCUGUAGUGAUUAACAGAUCAAAACGUCUUAAAUUCAUACACCUUUAUUUUUAGACAAUAGAAAAAGAAGCUUCCUAGUUAGUUGAACAAGAGUCACAUGGCUUUUGGUCAUUCCUAGCCUGUGAACUAAAAGUCUAUAUCUGAAAAGAUGUCCACGAAAUAGGGUUAAAUUUUAAAGCAAUCUCAGAACAAUAUAUUUUCUCCCUCGCUGCCCCUCUCAUUUCCUUUCCUCCCACAAAUAUUUAUUGAGCACCAGCCCUGUGCCAACUGGAAAUAUGUGGUGAGCAAUGCAGCAAUGGUACAGCCUGCAUGGAUCUUGAAGUACCCUGUAGAUGGACUACAAGAUGGACAUUGGUUCCACUUUCAUGUUAUAAACAACAAUAACCACGAAGAACAUUUUUAUACAUGUGCUUGAGUUAAAGUUCUGCCUCAACCACUUUGGAGAGCAAUUUAACAACAUCUAGUAAAAUUGAGAAUGUGGAUACCCUAUAUGAUCCAGCAACCCCUCUUUAGGAUACAUACCCUAGAACAGUGGCUUUUGAACUUUUUGGUACCAGGUCACCAUUACACUCUUAAAAAUGACUGAGGACAACAGAGGGAUUUUGUUUAUAGUUAAAGUAGGGAGGAAGCAAGAGAAUUAAAAAUGUUAAUAAAGCCACAUUCAGCAGGGCGGUGGUUCUCAAACCAUGUGAUCAAAUGUUAAUAAAGCCACAUUCAGCAGGGCGGGGGUCUCAGCCAUGUGAUCAAAACUAUUUUCACAGUAAUACUAAAAUGUUAUUUGCCCUUAUGUUUACUCUCUCAUGAAUAUACAUUGGAGCUUUCAAGAGGCUACGUGAUGUUGACAUUGCAACAGAUCAACUGCAGAAGCAGAUAGGAGAAUCUGGAUGGUUUCUAUUAAGUCAGACAUUGAGGAGAUCUACAAAAAUCUAAUACAAUGUCACUUCUCACAAAUUUUUUUGCUUGGUAAAAUAUAAUUUUAAUAAAAAUUAUUUAUAUUAACAUAAUUUGUUUUAAAUGAACUAAUAUUUAAAAUCUUUGUAAUUUUUAAUUUCCAACAAGGUAAAUAUCAAAAGAUAUUGUCACUGUGAUGCAGGACGGCACAUUUCCCCAAGUGAGGGCAGAGACCAAGCCCUGUACGGAGAGAAGAGUCUUUUGUGGAGAGUGUGGAGAGAAUUCAACACACACGCCAAAGUUAGAGUCAGAAGGAAAGUUUAUUAGAAAAGGAAUAACACUCCACAGAGUAUGGUCUCCUCUCAGAGGCAGAGAGUGAGAGAGAGGUAAGAGCAAAGGCACUGAGAGGGGCCUAGAGGAACAGAGACAAUAGAGAUGAGGACAGUGAGAGAGACAGAGUAAAAGACACUGAAGGGAACCUUGAGUGUCCCGGGAAUUUAGUUUAUAUGCCAUUCUUCAGUUUCAGUGAGUUAUAGUUUAAAAGACUAUUAACCCAUCUCCUUUGACGUGGACCUAAAGUGAAGAAGGGGAAGGAGAAGAGUAUGUAGUAAAAAGGUAAGAAUAUGUAGAGUGAAAGACCUGCUGGCAGUUCCCAGCCUUUAAUCCAUAGGUUCCCCAUAGUUUUAGCCAUAGGGAAUGACUCUUGGUUCCUGGUUCUCCUUCACAGGUGUGGGCAAUGGGUCGUUAGCAAUCCAAGCAGAAAUCUUCCUUUGUUCUGAAGGUGUCCUCCUGGCCUGGCUGCAUGGCUGAUCAGCAUAUUGCAGUCUCUGAAUGUGGCUUUAUUAACAUUUUUAAUUCUCUUGCCUCCUCCCUACUUUAACUGUAAACAAAAUCCCUCUGUUGUCCUCAGUCAUUUUUAAGAGUGUAAUGGUGACCUGGUACCAAAAAGUUUAAAAGCCACUGUUUUAGGGUAUGUAUCCUGAAGAGGGGUUGCUGGAUCAUAUAGGGUAUCCACAUUCUCAAUUUUAUUAGAUGUUACGAAAUUGCUCUCCAGAGUGGCUAAAGCAGAAGUUAAACAAAAAUCUGUAUAUAGUUGGUUUUUUUAGGGAUAUCUCAAAUCGUAAAGAAUUGCGGAAUUAUUGUUAAACUUAUUGAUUCAAUAUCUUUUCUUAACAAUAGUGAGAAAUGCAGGGUAAUAUUUAUUUUUUAUGUAUUCAGAGGAAGUUUUUCUUGGUCACUGAAAACGGUGUUGUAGAGUGUCAACAUUAAAUGUAUCGGAAAAUUUAUUUUUGGCGCCUCAUGGGAGAUAGAGGUGUACAAAUUAUGCAAAUAUGCUUUUUUUUUUUACCAUCAGGGGAAUUUCAUUGUUCUCAAAUACUGCCUUCUGUAAUUUCUGUUAAAAUCUAAACCAUUUUCCACUGACACCCAAUUCAUAAAAAAAUGCUAAGGCAUCUAAUGUUAACAAAAAUUCAAAGGCUGUUAGUUUAUAGGUCAUCAAGUGACCAAGGUUAUUUGGUGUUGUUUUUUGAUUGUAGAAUAUUUGAAUUGUUCAAGUGUAGCUGAUAUAAAACUUUUACUGCAUUAAAUUUUGGAAAUAAGAUGUGGGUAAAUAUAAAAAACUGAGUUUUACAGGGCCAAGAUGCAAUGACAUUAAUUGGAUGUUUCUUUAAAAAAAUUUUUUAAAAUUAAUUUUAGGUAUACAGCACAAUGGUUAGGCAUUUAUAUAAUUUAUGAAGUGAUCCCCCUGAUUACUCUAGCACCCACCUAGCACACUAUACCGUUAUUACAAUAUUAUUGACUAUAUUACCUAUGUUCCAUAUCCCUAUGAUGUUUGGUAACUACUAAUUUGUACUUCUUCAUCCCUUCACCUUUUUUCACGCUGCCUCCCAUCACCCCCCCCCUCACCAGUUUGUUCUCUGUAUCUGUGAGUCUGUUUUCGUUUUGUUUCUUUUGUUCCUUAAAUUCUGCAUAUGAGUAAAAUCAUAUGCUAUUUUCUUACAAUGGUUUUGCAUGUAGUGAUUUGCACACCCUACUCUUGUAAAAUGAAAUGUGACCACAGUCAGCUAUUACCUGAUAUUUAUGGUGGAGGGCUUUGGACAACCAAAUAUAAAUCUUGAUGAGAUUUUAUGCUGCCACUCAGGGAAAUGAAUGGGAUAGGUUAGAAACCGAAGUACAGCACAAUUCAGGAGACAUAUCUGAGCAGUAGUAAUAUUGUUGAUGCAGCAUGCAUCACAGGAACAAAUGGAAAUUGUUUUUUUAUCUGUUGUUAGGGGAUUAUCUAGCUCCUGGUGGGGCUAGCUGAAGGAACUGUGUCUUCAAUAAAUUUUUUGUGCCAAUAACCAGACUCUCAGCAGGUCAUGGUCUCUAAAGUUAUAAACCCAGGAGCGAAUAUGUUUAAAUGUGGAAUUCUAUAUAGAUGGCCCUUUCAAAGGGAAGAUAAACCAAAAUUGCUGGUCUUAGCCUUUUGGAUUACUGACUUUAUUUGAACCACAUCAAGCAAUAAAGAACUUAGAAAUCA
Pteropus alecto (black flying fox) is the source of this 5243-nucleotide long non-coding RNA. RefSeq lists it as uncharacterized. NCBI's taxonomy places the organism in Eukaryota, Metazoa, Chordata, Mammalia, Chiroptera, Pteropodidae. The record is from RefSeq and is a predicted model, not a curated record. The transcript has 3 exons.